RNAcentral lists this transfer RNA (61 nucleotides) under Ahniella sp. RNAcentral describes it as "tRNA-Asn". The stretch from base 4 to 57 matches the Rfam family "tRNA", at positions 9 to 63 of the family's 71-position model. From Rfam's summary of the family: Transfer RNA (tRNA) molecules are approximately 80 nucleotides in length. Their secondary structure includes four short double-helical elements and three loops (D, anti-codon, and T loops). The record is from RNAcentral. Lineage: Bacteria; Pseudomonadati; Pseudomonadota; Gammaproteobacteria; Lysobacterales; Rhodanobacteraceae.
GGAAGCUCAUUGGUUGAGCACUCGACAGUUAAUCGAGCGUGCGGGUUCGAGUCCCGCUCCA